UGAGGCAGGAGAAUCACUUGAACCCAGGAGGUGGAGGUUGCAGUGAGCCGCGAUUGCGCCAUUGCACUCCAGCCUGGGUGACAGAGACUCAGUCUCAAAAAAAAAAAAA
This 109-nucleotide microRNA precursor is filed under the name Chlorocebus sabaeus (green monkey). Its description in RNAcentral is "miRNA (ENSCSAG00000021645.1)". Lineage: Eukaryota; Metazoa; Chordata; Mammalia; Primates; Cercopithecidae. The record is from RNAcentral.